UACGUAGGGUGCAAGCGUUGUCCGGAAUUAUUGGGCGUAAAGAGCUCGUAGGCGGUUUGUCGCGUCUGCUGUGAAAACCUCAGGCUCAACCUGGGGCUUGCAGUGGGUACGGGCAGACUAGAGUGCGGUAGGGGUGACUGGAAUUCCUGGUGUAGCGGUGGAAUGCGCAGAUAUCAGGAGGAACACCGAUGGCGAAGGCAGGUCACUGGGCCGCAACUGACGCUGAGGAGCGAAAAGCAUGGGGAGCGAAACAGG
This 255-nucleotide ribosomal RNA is filed under the name uncultured bacterium. RNAcentral describes it as "partial 16S ribosomal RNA". It matches the Rfam family "Bacterial small subunit ribosomal RNA", at positions 524 to 776 of the family's 1533-position model. The record is from RNAcentral.